AGAGUUUGAUCAUGGCUCAGGAUGAACGCUAGCGACAGGCCUAACACAUGCAAGUCGAGGGGCAUCGGGACGUAGCAAUACGUUGCCGGCGACCGGCGGAUGGGUGAGUAACGCGUAUGCAACCUACCCGUAGCAGGGGGAUAGCCCGUUGAAAGACGGAUUAAUACCCCGUAACACAGGGGCUCCGCAUGGAGAUUAUUGUUAAAGGGUCAUUUCUUUUUCAGGGAUGGUCCGGCUGCGGAUAGGCAUGCGUUCCAUUAGGUAGUUGGUGUAGGUAACUGCUCACCAAGCCGACGAUGGAUAGGGGAACUGAGAGGUUGGUCCCCCACACUGGUACUGAGACACGGACCAGACUCCUACGGGAGGCAGCAGUGAGGAAUUUUGGUCAAUGGACGCAAGUCUGAACCAGCCAUGUCGCGUGAAGGAGGACGGCCCUAAGGGUUGUAAACUUCUUUUGCAGUGGAAUAAAGUUUGCCACGUGUUGGCGAUUUGCAAGUACGCUGCGAAUAAGGAUCGGCUAACUCCGUGCCAGCAGCCGCGGUAAUACGGAGGAUCCAGGCGUUAUCCGGAUUUAUUGGGUUUAAAGGGUGCGCAGGCGGGGAAUUAGGUCGGCGGUGAAAUUUCGGGGCUCAACCUCGACAGUGCCGUUGAAACCGUUUCUCUUGAGUGCGGAUGAGGUAGGCGGAAUUUGUGGUGUAGCGGUGAAAUGCGUAGAUAUCACAAGGAACACCGAUUGCGGAGGCAGCUUACUAAACCGUUACUGACGCUCAUGCACGAAGGCGUGGGGAUCAAACAGGAUUAGAUACCCUGGUAGUCCACGCAGUAAACGAUGAUUACUUGCUGUUUGCGAUACACAGUAAGCGGCGAAGCGAAAGCGUUAAGUAAUCCACCUGGGGAGUACGUUCGCAAGAAUGAAACUCAAAGGAAUUGACGGGGCCCGCACAAGCGGAGGACAUGUGGNUUAAUUCGAUGAUACGCGAGGAACCUUACCCGGGCUUGAAAUGCAUUCGACGGGGUUGGAAACAGCCUUU
RNAcentral lists this ribosomal RNA (1031 nucleotides) under uncultured bacterium. Its description in RNAcentral is "bacterial SSU rRNA". It matches the Rfam family "Bacterial small subunit ribosomal RNA", at positions 8 to 1014 of the family's 1533-position model. The record is from RNAcentral.